AUGUUACUGGUUGCUCAAAAUUGUUGGUGUCAAUCAUUGAUUCAGUCAGAAUCUGUGAUCAUUGAACCUGGAAAAUCACACACAUUGACCUGUACAGCCUCUGGGUUAGACUUCGAUAACUAUUGGAUGGGCUGGAACAGACAAACAUCAGGAAAAGGGCUGGAAUGGGUUGCAGCAAUCAGCAGCUCCCAGACUAAAUAUUACUCCAGUGCUGUUGAAGGAAGGUUCACCAUCUCCAGAGACAACAGUAAGAAACAGGUGUAUCUGCAUAUGGGCAGUUUAAAGAAGGAAGACACUGCUGUGUAUUACUGUGCCAGAGAGCCACAGUGA
This is a non-coding RNA of Paramisgurnus dabryanus, 330 nucleotides long. The record is from the annotation of a RefSeq genome assembly. NCBI's taxonomy places the organism in Eukaryota, Metazoa, Chordata, Actinopteri, Cypriniformes, Cobitidae.